CUUGACCGACCCCAGCCACAGCGGCCGGUCCCCGGACCGGUCCCGGCCGUAGGUGGUGAUCAGCGCGUGGGCUUC
Molecule: non-coding RNA, 75 nt
Organism: Streptomyces violaceusniger Tu 4113
Lineage: Bacteria; Bacillati; Actinomycetota; Actinomycetes; Kitasatosporales; Streptomycetaceae
Source: Rfam